AGAGUUUGAUCCUGGCUCAGGACGAACGCUGGCGGCGUGCUUAACACAUGCAAGUCGAACGAGAAUCUACGGAUCGAGGAUUCGUCCAAGUGAAGUAGAGGACAGUGGCGGACGGGUGAGUAACGCGUGAGGAACCUGCCUUUCAGAGGGGGACAACAGUUGGAAACGACUGCUAAUACCGCAUGACACAUUGGGGUCGCAUGGCCCUGAUGUCAAAGAUUUAUCGCUGAAAGAUGGCCUCG
This 242-nucleotide ribosomal RNA is filed under the name uncultured bacterium. RNAcentral's name for it is "partial 16S ribosomal RNA". It matches the Rfam family "Bacterial small subunit ribosomal RNA", at positions 8 to 233 of the family's 1533-position model. The record is from RNAcentral.